Molecule: ribosomal RNA, 506 nt
Filed under: uncultured bacterium
Lineage: Bacteria
Description: bacterial SSU rRNA
Rfam family: Bacterial small subunit ribosomal RNA
Source: RNAcentral
UUCUGGCUCAGGAUGAACGCUGGCGGCGUGCUUAACACAUGCAAGUCGAGCGGAGAUAUGAAAUCGGAGAGCUUCGGCAGGAAGAUUUCAUAUUUAGCGGCGGACGGGUGAGUAACGUGUGGGCAACCUGCCCUGUACUGUGGAAUAAUCACUGGAAACGGUGACUAAUACCGCAUGUCAUUGCGAGAGGGCAUCCUCUUGCAAGAAAAGGAUUUAUUCGGUACAGGAUGGGCCCGCAUCUGAUUAGCUAGUUGGUGAGAUAACAGCCCACCAAGGCAACGAUCAGUAGCCGACCUGAGAGGGUGAUCGGCCACAUUGGGACUGAGACACGGCCCAAACUCCUACGGGAGGCAGCAGUGGGGAAUAUUGCACAAUGGGCGAAAGCCCUGAUGCAGCAACGCCGCGUGAAGGAAGAAGGGUUUCGGCUCGUAAACUUCUAUCAACAGGGACGAAAAAAUGACGGUACCUGAAUAAGAAGCCCCGGCUAACUACGUGCCAGCCGCCGC